RNAcentral lists this RNase P RNA (357 nucleotides) under Mailhella sp. Its description in RNAcentral is "RNase P RNA component class A". It matches the Rfam family "Bacterial RNase P class A". Rfam says of the family: Ribonuclease P (RNase P) is a ubiquitous endoribonuclease, found in archaea, bacteria and eukarya as well as chloroplasts and mitochondria. Its best characterised activity is the generation of mature 5'-ends of tRNAs by cleaving the 5'-leader elements of precursor-tRNAs. Cellular RNase Ps are ribonucleoproteins. The record is from RNAcentral. Lineage: Bacteria; Pseudomonadati; Thermodesulfobacteriota; Desulfovibrionia; Desulfovibrionales; Desulfovibrionaceae.
GGAGUCGGACGGGCUGUCGCUGCGCGCCUCUGGCGCGGGGAGGAAAGUCCGGGCUUCACAGGGCAGGAUGCUGGCUAACGGCCAGAGCGGGCGACCGCUGGCAAGCGCAACAGAAAGCAGACCGCCAUCGUUCAGGGUGGCAAGGGUGAAACGGCGAGGUAAGAGCUCACCGGCCGUCAUGGCGACAUGGCGGGCCAGGCAAGCCCCAUCCGAAGCAAGACCAAAUAGGGAAACCGGCCGGCCCGGCCCAUGGUUUCCGGGUAGGUUGCUGGAGGGCGCAGGCAACUGCGCUCCUAGAGGAAUGACAGCCGCCGCCUCAUGGCGGCACAAAACCCGGCUUACAGUCUGACUCCCAAA